This 390-nucleotide ribosomal RNA is filed under the name uncultured bacterium. RNAcentral describes it as "bacterial SSU rRNA". It matches the Rfam family "Bacterial small subunit ribosomal RNA", at positions 145 to 518 of the family's 1533-position model. The record is from RNAcentral.
GCCCAAGGGAAACCUGGAUUAAUACCGGAUGAGACGGGACCCCGCGAUGGGCGGGAUCCGGGAAAGGCGCUGCGGCGCCGCCGGGGGAUGAGUCUGCGUCCCAUUAGCUAGACGGCGGGGUAACGGCCCACCGUGGCGACGAUGGGUAGCCGGCCUGAGAGGGUGGACGGCCACAUUGGAACUGAGACACGGUCCAGACUCCUACGGGAGGCAGCAGCUAAGAAUCUUCCGCAAUGGGCGAAAGCCUGACGGAGCCGACGCCGCGUGAACGAAGAAGGCCGUGAGGUUGUAAAGUUCGUUUUCGGGAGGGGGAACAACCGUGGCAGGGAAUGGCCGCGGGAUGACGUGAAUCCCGGAAUAAGCCCCGGCUAACUACGUGCCAGCCGCCGC